GGAAAAAGGUUCCGGCCUCAGCCGGCGCACCUGGCGGAGGAGGAACCUCGCGACGCGCUCUCGGGCAUCGGUUUCUCCCAGCAAAGCUUGGAGGGUUUAGCUGCGCGGAGAGCUCAGCGAGCUCUUCUGUGUCUGUUUGGGGCGUGUGGGCUCCGGGAGCGUGAGGACCGGGAAGCUAGGAGGCUCCUUCCCUUCUGGCGGCUCCCUCACUGAGACCGGGCGGUUUGGUUGCGGGGGAAGUGGAGACGAGCCACCCUUGACCUUUGACUGCAAGAACUCACCUUGAGCAGGAUAGAGCAAACAUUGAGUGGGCCAGACACUGUUCUGAAAAAUACGCAGUCGACUUUUGAACAGCACAGGCUUGAACUGCAUGCGGCCACUAAUACUCGGACUUCCUUCUGCCUCUGCCAUCCCUAAGACAGCAAGACCCACCCCUCCUGCUCCUCAGCCUACUCGAUGUGAUGAUGACAUUACUGACUUCUCCUGUUAGCUCUGUCGUGCUUACAUCAUGAUGCCCAUUUUUCAGGUAAAGAAAUAGUGGCUCAAACAAG
This 551-nucleotide long non-coding RNA is filed under the name Homo sapiens (human). RNAcentral's name for it is "HSALNT0068395". The record is from RNAcentral. Lineage: Eukaryota; Metazoa; Chordata; Mammalia; Primates; Hominidae.